GCCGGCUUUGCAGAGGGACGCUUGGAGGAAGCUCCGGGAGGGAAAGCCGCGUCCACACCUCUUUCCAGGAUAUGGUGGGGCCCAGGGACCCCUCCCCUCCGACUGAGCCCCAGAGACCCCCUACUUAGGCCAUAAGGGGAAAACCGAGCUCCUGCUGGCCCAGGCAUCAGAAUUCCUCAGGGAGGAAAAGUUGCCUAUCUGUUGGGUCAGAUUUCUGAAGACUGAUGAGGCCCAUUUUCUGACAAAUGGCAAGAGUUUAGAAAGUGCCAGUGACGUGCCUGAUAGAAUCUCACCACAAGAUGGACACCAGCCCAUCAGAAGCCUGGAGAGCCCACCUAGCAUGAGACCUCUGUGGGUCCAGGAUCUUGGAAUGGCAUCCCAUGGCUUAAUCUUCCGAAUUCAAUCAAAUAAAGUUGCCCCACCUAUGUCGUGUACCCAAGCUUCCUACCAAGUCUCCUUAGCUUAAAUGCAAGAUUAGUACUAUUUUGUUCAUCUUGAUUGGAGGGAGAAAUGAAUAGAUCCACGCACAUAUAUUUCUUUUACCACAACAAGAUGAUGAAGAAAUAAAUCCAUAAUAUUGAUACUUUUGUAUAAGCUGUGUGUACAGUUGCAGUAAGAAAUUUUAUAAUCUUUGAUUUGCUUUAUAUAGUUUCUGCUUGCUUUUUAUGAUAUUUAAAACAAAAUCUAAGCAACAAAUUUUAUGUCUGAUUAGAUUUACAGAAGCUGCUUAAGUGCUUAGGGAUAAUUUGUUCAUCAUAUUUGUAAGUCUCCCUUGUUAGGUGUUUGAAGUGUUUGAAUUGGCUAAAUUAAAUUUGUAAUUGUAGUUGAAAUAUCUAAAGGAAUUUUCUUAAUUAAAUGUUUAAAUGAUGUUAAAAGUUUAUGAGAAUUUAAUCUAUCAAAUUUAUGAGUUAAUUGAAUAUGAAUCAAUGAACAAGUAAAUGUGAUCUUGCUCUUAUAUAAAAACUACUAAGUUCAUAAAUAAAAUACAAAGAUCCAUAAGUUGGGAGGAAAAGCAAAAG
Long non-coding RNA from Rhinopithecus roxellana (golden snub-nosed monkey), 1019 nucleotides. RefSeq lists it as uncharacterized. NCBI's taxonomy places the organism in Eukaryota, Metazoa, Chordata, Mammalia, Primates, Cercopithecidae. The transcript has 3 exons. The record is from RefSeq and is a predicted model, not a curated record.